Molecule: long non-coding RNA, 536 nt
Organism: Centruroides sculpturatus (bark scorpion)
Lineage: Eukaryota; Metazoa; Arthropoda; Arachnida; Scorpiones; Buthidae
Exons: 2
Source: RefSeq, a predicted model, not a curated record
AAUGACAAACUUAAUUUUGCCACAAUUUCUGCUGCUAUAAACCUUAUAACCAAAUUAGAAUUAGUAUUAUGAUUAAAUGUCAAAUGCAAUACAUAUUAUUAAAUAUAAACAUUAUUUGCAUAGACUUGGAGUGACUGGAAGGCAAACAUUAAAAGUAAAGCCUCACAAAUAAAAAAAUCAUCAUUUCAAACAGGAGGUGGGCCUUCACUUAAUCAAAAAUUAACUGAAGUUGAAGAGAGAGUUUUAAAUUUAAUUGGUAUAACUGCUGUUUACGGAGAAUCCCAAAUUGAUGAGGCAGGAGUUCAGGAACCAAAUGGUGCACAAGAGUUGAGUGAAAGUGCACAAGACUUAUUAAACUGUAUGAUUGACAAUACUAUUUCUUGUGUACAAUCAAAUAAUUCUACUUGUAUAAAUGAAGAAUAUCCAUCUAAUCAAAAUACAUAUUUCGAACUGCCUCCAAAUGAUGAUUGCAAUCCAACUGAUUGUAACCCAACUGAUGGUCUACAUUUGAAUACUUCAUUAAGAAAUGUUAACAG